RNAcentral lists this ribosomal RNA (253 nucleotides) under uncultured bacterium. RNAcentral describes it as "partial 16S ribosomal RNA". It matches the Rfam family "Bacterial small subunit ribosomal RNA", at positions 524 to 776 of the family's 1533-position model. The record is from RNAcentral.
UACGUAGGCAGCGAGCGUUGUUCGGAGUUACUGGGCGUAAAGCGUGCGUAGGCGGUGUCUUAAGUUUGUUGUGAAACCUCCCGGCUUAACCGGGAGGGUGCGGCGAAUACUGAGAUGCUGGAGUGCGGGAGAGGUAAGCGGAAUUCCUGGUGUAGCGGUGAAAUGCGUAGAUAUCAGGAGGAACACCUGCGGUGUAGACGGCUUACUGGACCGUAACUGACGCUGAGGCACGAAAGCGUGGGUAGCAAACAGG